Long non-coding RNA from Scatophagus argus, 2071 nucleotides. RefSeq lists it as uncharacterized. The transcript has 3 exons. Lineage: Eukaryota; Metazoa; Chordata; Actinopteri; Scatophagidae. The record is from RefSeq and is a predicted model, not a curated record.
CUCACCAGUCUUGUUUUACUGAAGUUGUGUUGAGUGAUUUAUGAUGCAGUGGAUUGUGGAAAGCUUUGGCAGAAAUGUCUCAGCAAAGGACAGAAACGGCUGCACCUCAUGAAUUUUUAAUAGACUUGUCAGCUGACUCUCUUCUAUCUAUCUACUGAAUAUAAGGUUUGUGCCAAACUGCAGCAGAGAGGACAAUAAUGAUAAGCAUGGACCUCUAUUGAUAUUUUGAGGACUUCAAUAUAAAUUUAAGGAUUAUGUUGAACUGUUCCUGUGAAAAUUUUCCAUCAUCCCUGCUGACGCUUCCUGGAGUAACAUACUGAAAGAAAUGAGCAUGACCAUCUCUUUUGAGAACAGCACUGUUGAAAUUCUCAAAGGCUGUGCUGAGUGUCACUGAGAUGGGAACAGAGGCAGCAACCACCAGCGCCAGGCAGGUAGUGUUCCUCAAUUUGUCAUGAGUCUGUCAAAACAGACAGACUCCUCUUGGUCCUCACCUGAAGAACUCGACUACAUCCUCUUCAAGAUCAACAACCCUGCAGCCAUGUAAAGGCACAUGCUUGGAAAAUAAGCAUCAUGAUCAAAAGUAUCAUCAUGAGGAUCCCAUCAUAAUCUAACCCACUGAUUACUUACAGCAUACUGAUAAUGUAGCAAGAAAUGUGCUCGAACAGGCACAUCUGUCUUUGCAAGGGAAUGGAAGUAAUACUAUGAAAGAACACCCUGUUGAUGUAAAUGAAACCUCUAAUGAUGAGUUAAUCCAUUGAUCAGUUGAUGGUCAGAAACUUGACCAGCAGCUAUUUGUGAUUAAAUAAUAGUUUCAGUCCUUUUACAAGCAGAAAAUGGCAAAAACAAAAUCUCGCCCGUGGUCAGCUGGUAUGGUUGGAUACUUGUCCCACACUAAAGUAAAUUGAAUAUCUAGGUUUUGGACUGGUGGUCACACAAAACAGCAUUUUCCAUUUUAUAACUAAACUAAUACCAAAAAUUGAACAGUUUCACUGUUUUCUGAUAUUUCAUAUACCAAUUAGUAUAAAAAAUUACCAACAGACUAGUAUAUAAUGAAAAUAAUUGCUAUAGUGCAUCCCGAAUCAGAAGCAGGUUGAAGGGCUCUGCAUGUUAACACAGAGGUACCUUGAAAAUAGAGACACUGAUUUCAUUGUUCUAUUUACUCAAAUACACAAAAUAAAAAGUAUUUAAAUUCGAUUCAACUAUUUUAUUUAAUUUCACAAGUUGUUCUUGGUGAGAUGUUAUUGUCUCAAAUCUUAUCUUUCCCUAUCAGCAUUAGCUAACUGAUGCCAUUCCCAUAUUUGGUCAUAAAUUCUAAAUUAGCUGUGAUGUUUCAUUAAAACUCCAGCCAUGCGUCAGCUGGAGGAACACACUCAGUAUCAUCUAGUGGCUGCUGAAUAGUUAAAUUUGGCUGAUGAUAACGGCAGGGAGAAGCUGUGUAACCUGAUGGCCAUCAGCCUUACACCACUCCUCGUCCUUUGACCUGUCAACAAAAGAGUUGCUGCAGGACCGGUUACACAAUCAGUACACUUUGUCUCCCCUGUCAGCACCCACACACGGUGACUUCUGCGAAGGACAUGAGUAAGAGACGUCUGAAUCAGAAAGCUGAGUGGGCAGCGCUUUCGAGGUGUUGAAAUGGAUCCAAUCUGUCUGGUCUGCACUGCAUAAGCAGGGACUGCUGAGGACUCAGCAGCACUGAAUCAGAAGCUGCAUUCAUUUGCAUGGUCACUUCUGAGCCGAUCGCUGUUACAUAUGGCCCACAUGAAGUUGAAGAGAGCCAUAAACUAGUAAGUUUUAGUUUCACAACUAAAAAUAAGUCACAGUAAAUUGAAAAGCAUGCACUGCUUUCACUAAAAACAAUGAGGUAAUAAUUAUAAAAAAAAGAGAGUUUGCUAACAGGUUGCCCUAUUGUACAGAAAUCAGUGGGAUGUCAAAAACAAAACAAACUUUUUCUCAUAUGUCUAAAGAACAACAUUGCUUGCAAGACAUUUAGUUGUACUGCUAAGUAUACUGUAUGUGAUUUGUAGUAAAUGAACUUCAAAUCACAAAGGCACUGAUCAACGAGAUGGAUGUC